This 263-nucleotide long non-coding RNA is filed under the name Rattus norvegicus (Norway rat). RNAcentral's name for it is "long non-coding RNA NONRATT024223". Lineage: Eukaryota; Metazoa; Chordata; Mammalia; Rodentia; Muridae. The record is from RNAcentral.
GUUUGACGAAGUCAGAAAAAAUGCACAGCUGAACAUGGAGCAGGAUGUGGCGCCUCACUAGGCUUUGUACCUACCUCUUCUAGGUUAUCUAUCUCUCCAAAGAGUCGGAGGAUGAGGGAGGAAGGCACGGUGAAGAUGGCUCCCGUUUUCCGCCUUCAGCAGUUCUGGAUGGCAGUCCUGUUUACUGAGAGCGCCGGGAUAAUAACAGGUUUAGGGUACUUGGGGACAUUUAAAUGCAGAGAAUAAAUAGGUAUCUGGAUACA